GAUGAACGCUGGCGGCGUGCCUAAUACAUGCAAGUAGAACGCUGAAGGAGGAGCUUGCUCUUCUGGAUGAGUUGCGAACGGGUGAGUAACGCGUAGGUAACCUGCCUGGUAGCGGGGGAUAACUAUUGGAAACGAUAGCUAAUACCGCAUGACAACAGUUAUUGCAUGAUAACUGUUUAAAAGGGGCAACUGCUCCACUACCAGAUGGACCUGCGUUGUAUUAGCUAGUUGGUGAGGUAACGGCUCACCAAGGCGACGAUACAUAGCCGACCUGAGAGGGUGAUCGGCCACACUGGGACUGAGACACGGCCCAGACUCCUACGGGAGGCAGCAGUAGGGAAUCUUCGGCAAUGGACGGAAGGCUGACCGAGCAACGCCGCGUGAGUGAAGAAGGGUUUCGGAUCGUAAAGCUCUGUUGUAAGAGAAGAACGAGUGUGAGAGUGGAAAGUUCACACUGUGACGGUAGCUUACCAGAAAGGGACGGCUAACUACGUG
Molecule: ribosomal RNA, 495 nt
Filed under: uncultured bacterium
Lineage: Bacteria
Description: partial 16S ribosomal RNA
Rfam family: Bacterial small subunit ribosomal RNA
Source: RNAcentral